This 251-nucleotide ribosomal RNA is filed under the name uncultured bacterium. RNAcentral describes it as "partial 16S ribosomal RNA". It matches the Rfam family "Bacterial small subunit ribosomal RNA", at positions 57 to 305 of the family's 1533-position model. The record is from RNAcentral.
GCAAGUCGAGGGGCAGCAUUUCUAGCUUGCUAGAAGAUGGCGACCGGCGCACGGGUGCGUAACGCGUAUACAAUCUGCCUAUCACUGAGGGAUAGCCCGAAGAAAUUUGGAUUAACACCUCAUAGUAUUGUUUAGCCGCAUGGUUUUACAAUUAAAGGUUACGGUGAUAGAUGAGUAUGCGUCCUAUUAGCUAGAUGGUAAGGUAAAGGCUUACCAUGGCUACGAUAGGUAGGGGUCCUGAGAGGGAGAUC